Molecule: non-coding RNA, 72 nt
Organism: Cordylochernes scorpioides
Lineage: Eukaryota; Metazoa; Arthropoda; Arachnida; Pseudoscorpiones; Chernetidae
Source: the annotation of a GenBank genome assembly
UGUCCAGGAGCGGGAAUCGAACCCACAACCUUCUGCUUACCGGGCAGGUGACAUGUCCACUAAGUUACGAAC